This 34-nucleotide ribosomal RNA is filed under the name Laccaria trichodermophora. RNAcentral's name for it is "partial 28S ribosomal RNA". Lineage: Eukaryota; Fungi; Basidiomycota; Agaricomycetes; Agaricales; Hydnangiaceae. The record is from RNAcentral.
GGUAGGACUACCCGCUGAACUUAAGCAUAUCAAA